This 301-nucleotide ribosomal RNA is filed under the name uncultured bacterium. RNAcentral describes it as "partial 16S ribosomal RNA". It matches the Rfam family "Bacterial small subunit ribosomal RNA", at positions 509 to 807 of the family's 1533-position model. The record is from RNAcentral.
CAGCAGCCGCGGUAAUACGUAGGUGGCAAGCGUUGUCCGGAAUUAUUGGGCGUAAAGGGCUCGCAGGCGGUUUCUUAAGUCUGAUGUGAAAGCCCCCGGCUCAACCGGGGAGGGUCAUUGGAAACUGGGAAACUUGAGUGCAGAAGAGGAGAGUGGAAUUCCACGUGUAGCGGUGAAAUGCGUAGAGAUGUGGAGGAACACCAGUGGCGAAGGCGACUCUCUGGUCUGUAACUGACGCUGAGGAGCGAAAGCGUGGGGAGCGGACAGGAUUAGAUACCUGGGUAGUCCCUGUCUCUUAUAC